This 491-nucleotide ribosomal RNA is filed under the name uncultured bacterium. RNAcentral describes it as "partial 16S ribosomal RNA". It matches the Rfam family "Bacterial small subunit ribosomal RNA", at positions 29 to 507 of the family's 1533-position model. The record is from RNAcentral.
GUGAACGCUGGCGGUAGGCCUAACACCUGCAAGUCGAACGGCAGCACCGUAAGAGCUUGCUCUUACGGGUGGCGAGUGGCGGACGGGUGAGGAAUACAUCGGAAUCUACUUUUUCGUGGGGGAUAACGUAGGGAAACUUACGCUAAUACCGCAUACGACCUACGGGUGAAAGCAGGGGAUCUUCGGACCUUGCGCGAUUGAAUGAGCCGAUGUCGGAUUAGCUAGUUGGCGGGGUAAAGGCCCACCAAGGCGACGGUCCGUAGCUGGUCUGAGAGGAUGAUCAGCCACACUGGAACUGAGACACGGUCCAGACUCCUACGGGAGGCAGCAGUGGGGAAUAUUGGACAAUGGGCGCAAGCCUGAUCCAGCCAUACCGCGUGGGUGAAGAAGGCCUUCGGGUUGUAAAGCCCUUUUGUUGGGAAAGAAAAGCAGCAGGUUAAUACCCCGCUGUUCUGACGGUACCCAAAGAAUAAGCACCGGCUAACUUCGUG